UUUGGAGCCGUCUUCAUAGCAUUUGUAUGACUCUGUACAACUCGUUCUGGGAGAUUGUGAAAAUAGCAAUACUGAGUCUCAACCACACAGGUGACCUGCAAACUGGGGCCCGUCAUCACGGAGCUACACACGCACCUGGCCAGGACUCAGAGCAGCUACAGGAGGAGGGGUGGAAGGGGUGGGGAGGUGCGGCCCCGCUGCCGCCCUGUGCCAACACGGUGGGCCUGCAGGUCGGUGAGGAGCGUGGCCCGCAGCAGCUCGGUGUGCCUGACGCUGACCUCCAGAGACUGACGGCUGCUGCUGCACUUUCGCCUUCCCAGCCUCAUGCCAAUGCCUCAUGCUGCAGUCCUCACCUAGACGACAGGGAGAGGAACACUGGGAAACAGUUCUAGCAGCUAAGUUGACACAACACAAAACCAUCACAAGAAUUAAAAAAUCAGAAAUACCAGGCGGAUGUCAACGACGGCGCACUGUUCUAGAGGCACCACUGAGCUAACGUGUAGACCCUGCUUGCGAUGUACCAGGCACUCUUCUCAGCACUUGACAUGUGUCGACUCAUUUAAUCCUCUCAACAACCCCAGUGAAGCAGUGACUUUCAUUAUCCCUGUUUCACAGAUGAAAACCUGACACGUGGAGAAGAUCCCAAAGCUAGAAAAGGAAUGGUGUGAACAGAGGAAAGAGAAGCAGAAAAUGGAAGAGAAGCUGAGAGAGACAGCAGGAGGUUUUGUAUUUCACCAUUUGAAGAAUUCACAUCUGAAUAAGAAAAAAAUAUCCAUGUGAACUUCCUUCAUCCUAUUGGAAACAACAAUGUCAAAUUCUGAAACUUCAGAUCAAAAUGUCACAGGCCCAAGAGUCCCUGUCUGCACCUGAACCUGCUCCUGCCCUCUCCCUUCCCUUCCUGGCUAUCCCAGCAGUCUCCCCCCAGAUCGUCACCACCAGACCAUGGUCACGUGUGGCCUCAGUUGCUUGUCACUGGGAUAUAAAGGAGUCCUCCUCUAGUGACUCUCCAAAGAGAAGCAAUUAUCAAGUAAAAUGAAAAUUUUGCUUGCAAUUUUCACAGGCCUACAGCCCUUGCUAUCUGUAUCUGAUUCUGAAGCUCUAUAAGGCCAAGUGUGACGCAUUGGGUAUAACCUAUGUGCUAUCCCCUUAACAAGGCUAACUAUUACUGCAUAAAACCACCCUAAAACCCCAGGACUUAGAACAAAACAGUUUACUAUUUCUCACAAUUCUGUGGGUUCGCCCAGAGUUCAUAUGCCUCACUGGUGGUGGCUGGGGUAUUGGGAUGGUUAGAAGGUCCUAAGUGGCUUCACUCCCACGACUGGCAUAGGUGCCGGCUGUCAGCUGGGAGCUCAGCUGGGCUGUUGGCUGGAGGCCUCAGUUGUCUUCCACUUGAGUCUCUCACAUGGCUCACUGGGCUUCCUCACAGCAUGGGAGCUGGGUUCCAAGAAGGGAUGUUCCAACAAGUAUAGGAAGAAGCUGCAGUUCUCUUCCAUAAAGUACUGCUAUGUUCUAUAUGUUAAAGUGAGUCACAUGGUCAGUUCAGAUUCAAGGGGAGGUGAAAUGGCAAGGAUACACUACAUAAAAGCAUGUACGGUUGAGAGAUACAAGCAUGACCAUCCAAGGCAGAAAGAAGAAGAUAGCUAAUAAAAAAAAGGCUACAUUGGACGGCUGACUUCUAGGUGCUUAGAUAUGGGUGGUAGAGUCAGACUCAGUGAUCCCUAGGGAGGGUUCAGUGAGUAGCUAAGAACUAAGACCUUUGUAAAGAACCCCAUUUGGCUCAUUGCCUGGGAAGUGAUCUUAAACAUCCUUCUUGUAAAAAUUCUGCCAGCCUCCUUAAUUUUGGCCCAGGACACAAACUGAUCUUGAGGAAAGUAGUCAUUAUAGUUUCCUCCAAAUAAGUUGCCAAGCUCUAGAUCAUGAGACCCUGGACACAACUGAUUGAACCCAGAACCCAGGCCAGAGAUGCGGGACCUAGGAGAGACCAGCAGCCAGUGAGAAGGCCCAUGUGCAGCUCUGCCCAAUAGGACCACUUCUUAUUGGGUGGUGAUUAUCCAACAUGCCCAGAUCUUCACCACUGGAAGUUUUUAAUACUGUGUUUCCCUGAAAAUAAGACCUACCCAUAAAUAAGCCCUACCAGGAUUUCUAAGCAUUUGCACAA
This is a non-coding RNA of Microcebus murinus (gray mouse lemur), 2158 nucleotides long. Lineage: Eukaryota; Metazoa; Chordata; Mammalia; Primates; Cheirogaleidae. The record is from RefSeq and is a predicted model, not a curated record.